This 425-nucleotide ribosomal RNA is filed under the name uncultured bacterium. Its description in RNAcentral is "partial 16S ribosomal RNA". It matches the Rfam family "Bacterial small subunit ribosomal RNA", at positions 354 to 796 of the family's 1533-position model. The record is from RNAcentral.
GUGGGGAAUCUUGCGCAAUGGGCGAAAGCCUGACGCAGCCAUGCCGCGUGAAUGAUGAAGGUCUUAGGAUUGUAAAAUUCUUUCACCGGGGACGAUAAUGACGGUACCCGGAGAAGAAGCUCCGGCUAACUUCGUGCCAGCAGCCGCGGUAAUACGAAGGGGGCUAGCGUUGCUCGGAAUUACUGGGCGUAAAGGGCGCGUAGGCGGACAGUUUAGUCAGAGGUGAAAGCCCAGGGCUCAACCUUGGAAUUGCCUUUGAUACUGGCUGUCUUGAGUACGGGGGAGGUGGGUGGAACUCCGAGUGUAGAGGUGAAAUUCGUAGAUAUUCGGAAGAACACCAGUGGCGAAGGCGACUCACUGGCCCGUUACUGACGCUGAGGCGCGAAAGCGUGGGGAGCAAACAGGAUUAGAAACCCGUGUAGUCC